GAUGAACGCUGGCGGCGUGCCUAAUACAUGCAAGUCGAGCGAACAGAUGAGGAGCUUGCUCCUCUGACGUUAGCGGCGGACGGGUGAGUAACACGUGGAUAACCUACCUAUAAGACUGGGAUAACUUCGGGAAACCGGAGCUAAUACCGGAUAAUAUAUUGAACCGCAUGGUUCAAUAGUGAAAGACGGUUUUGCUGUCACUUAUAGAUGGAUCCGCGCCGCAUUAGCUAGUUGGUAAGGUAACGGCUUACCAAGGCAACGAUGCGUAGCCGACCUGAGAGGGGGAUCGGCCACACUAGAACUGAAACACGCUCAAGACUACUACGGGAGGCAGCAGUAGGGUACCUUCCGCAAUGGGCGAAAGCCUGACGGAGCAACGCCGAGUGAGAGAUGAAGGUCUUCGGAUCGUAAAACUCUGUUAUUAGUGAAGAACAAAUGUGUAAGUAACUAUGCACGUCUUGACGGUACCUAAUCAGAAAGCCACGGCUAACUACGUG
RNAcentral lists this ribosomal RNA (497 nucleotides) under uncultured bacterium. RNAcentral describes it as "partial 16S ribosomal RNA". It matches the Rfam family "Bacterial small subunit ribosomal RNA", at positions 28 to 507 of the family's 1533-position model. The record is from RNAcentral.